CGUGUUCAUCGUCUGCCUUGAUGUGUUUGUCAUAUCAUAAGGCACGCGGUGAAUGCCAA
RNAcentral lists this microRNA precursor (59 nucleotides) under Limulus polyphemus (Atlantic horseshoe crab). Its description in RNAcentral is "Lpo-Mir-124-P19_pre stem-loop". It matches the Rfam family "mir-124 microRNA precursor family", at positions 12 to 71 of the family's 72-position model. Rfam says of the family: The mature ~21nt miRNAs are processed from hairpin precursor sequences represented here, in this case originating from the 3' arm. The bounds of the precursors are predicted based on conservation and base pairing and are not generally known. The record is from RNAcentral. Lineage: Eukaryota; Metazoa; Arthropoda; Merostomata; Xiphosura; Limulidae.